This 686-nucleotide small RNA is filed under the name Pongo abelii (Sumatran orangutan). RNAcentral's name for it is "retained intron". The record is from RNAcentral. Lineage: Eukaryota; Metazoa; Chordata; Mammalia; Primates; Hominidae.
CAUCCAGCACGUCAUCAAUUAUGACAUGCCAGAGGAGAUUGAGAACUAUGGUAAGGGCCUGGGGCCCAAGGGCAUGGGCUAGGCCAGAAAAGGGCCGAGCCAGGCCCCUAGUGUCCAGCGAUGGGCCAGAGACUCUGUCCUUCUCUCUGCAGUACACCGGAUUGGCCGCACCGGGCGCUCGGGAAACACAGGCAUCGCCACUACCUUCAUCAACAAAGCCUGUGAUGAGUCAGUGCUGAUGGACCUCAAAGCGCUGCUGCUGGAAGCCAAGCAGAAGGUGCCGCCCGUGCUGCAGGUGCUGCAUUGCGGGGACGAGUCCAUGCUGGACAUUGGAGGAGAGCGCGGCUGUGCCUUCUGCGGGGGCCUGGGCCAUCGGAUCACUGACUGCCCCAAACUCGAGGCUAUGCAGACCAAGCAGGUCAGCAACAUCGGCCGCAAGGACUACCUGGCCCACAGCUCCAUGGACUUCUGAGCCGACAGUCUUCCCUCCUCUCCAAGAGGCCUCAGUCCCCAAGACUGCCACCACUCUACACACACAGCAGCCCCCUGGACAGAAUCAGCAUUUCAGCUCAGCUGGCCUGGACUGGGCCAGGCUGGUCCUGGCUGCCUGUUCCCUGUGCUCCUCAGAAUUACUAUUUUUGUUUCCUUUCACCCCAGCUGCCAUUAAAGCACAAACCUCUAUCCCA